RNAcentral lists this long non-coding RNA (1536 nucleotides) under Olea europaea subsp. europaea. The record is from RNAcentral. Lineage: Eukaryota; Viridiplantae; Streptophyta; Magnoliopsida; Lamiales; Oleaceae.
UGCUGAUGGAGAGAUUUAUGUUCAACUACAAGACAAUGUUAGAGGGUGUGAUGUAUAUCUUGUGCAGCCAAUUUGUCCUCCAGCAAAUGAAAAUCUUAUAGAACUCUUGAUAAUGAUUGAUGCUUGUCGGAGAGCAUCAGCCAAAAAUAUUACUUCUGUUAUGCCUUAAUUUUGGAUAUGCUAGAGCUGAUCGAAAGGUAUGUUAUCUAAGAAUUGAGUUAAUUUAAGUGAACCCAGUACUCACAUCGAAAUUUUGAUUUAAAAUAAUAACGUGUUUUGGUAAUCUCAAAAUUACAUAAUGAUCAAUUUAAAUACGAAACACUACAAUCUACUUGCCUUGACCCUGCUGUUUUUCCCUGCUAAAUGAGACAUCAUGAUGCAGCUUAUAGGUUUCUAUUUGAAAGCCCUGAUUUUGUUGCCUCGCAUUGAGUCUUUUUAUCAAAAUUGAAGAAUUCUUACUGGAUAUACAAUGAAACUAUGCAAAUAUUGGUAAACGUCCACAUGCUUCAGGUCUUCACUUUUACUUUUUCUUCUAGAGUGUUUUCACUUUAAAAUUUCUAAAGAAAAAAAAUCUUAAACUAAAAGCAAUUAGAUGCCAAAUGAUAAAAAUAAUGUCAAGUUUUAUUAGGUGUAUGACUAUUAUGUAAUUUCACCUUUAUUUCAUUGACAAUUAGCCUCCACCUGAAUGAAUUUGGUUGAUGAGUGUUGUUAGUAUUCUUUGUUUUGGUACUUCAAUUUCCUAUUUGCAUUUCUUUAUGAACAUUUGCUUCCACUAUAGACACAAGGGCGUGAGUCAAUAGCAGCCAAACUUGUAGCUAAUCUGAUUACUGAAGCUGGUGCAGACCGGGUUCUUGCCUGUGACCUUCAUUCUGGUCAGUCCAUGGGAUAUUUUGACAUUCCAAUGGAUCAUGUACAUGGUCAGGUAAAAGGCCUUGAGAUGUUUGUUCCCAUGACAUCCACAGAAUCUAACACUGGCAUAAUUUCAGUGAGUUUUGGUGCAAUAUUAACCCAAGAAAAUUUGGAAGCUGAUGAAUUGAAGAUUGGCGAAUGGGGCUGACUUAAUUGUCUAUAUGUUGAAUUUCUAUUUGCAAUCUUACUUUAUUGUUCACUUAUUCUGAAGCAAGUAGCCUGUCAUACUUGAUUACCUUGCCAACAAGGCCAUAUGUUCUGAUGUUCUGGUUGUGGUCUCACUGGAUGUUGGCGGGGUUGCUAGAACAAGAGAUUUUGCCAAAAAGUUGUCUGAACUGAAUAUUUGGUAUGCUACAUUUUGUGCCUAUAACACCAAUGGGUUAAUAUACCAUUCGGAUUCUGCAGGUGAUGAAUUUGAUUGGUGACGUGGCAGUUAUGGUGGAUGACAUGAUUGAUACUGCUUGGUAAUUUUUUUUUAUUUUUCUUUAUGAUCCACUUAUUCUUUCACAAUCUUGAAUAAUAGGUAAUCAAAUAGCUGCAGCCUGGGCAUACACAUAUAGAUGCUACACUGCAAAUUCUAUAUUGAAAUCAAGAUCUAAAACUGAAAAGAAUAAGGGGGUGUUCUCU